GAAUGUUUUCCUUGCCUCUGUCACCUUUGGGCUUGCUUCAGAUGGGGUUUAGGCCCUGGGCUCUGUAAAGUGCCUUGAGACAAUUUUAUUGUUAUGGCGCUAUAUAAAUAAAAUUGAAUUGAAUUGAAUGUUAUUGACCAGACCACCAAUCACUGCUACAAGCUGUGAUCAGAAGUAAGAUUCCAUCACCCAUAAAAAAGCAAACCUUUGGACGCAGAAUGAGAGAACUGAUAUAUUGAGGAGGUAUAUAAACCCUUCACAGCUGUAACAUUUCCAGAAUUCUUAGGAGGAAGUCACCCAUCUGUAUGCACCUUUAACAGGUCCGUAAGAGACAUCUGCUGGUCGCCUCCGGUAUCAGGAGGGUAGGUCAUACAACGGAACCGAUUUGUUUCAGGAAAACUUCUGAAAACGAUAUUGCAAUGUCUACAGAGUAUUUUCGAGAUAUUUCAAAGAUUCCCUAUUCGCCCAGCGCUGGUGCCAAGGACGUGUUGUGCUUUAAGCACUACAAUGCAGGGGAAGUGUUACAUGGAAGGACGAUGGAGGACUGGCUGAGGUUCUCUGUGUGUUACUGGCAUACCUUCUGUGGAACCGGUGCCGAUCCGUUCGGAUCCCCCACGCUCCAUCGGCCUUGGAAUGAAGGGGGCAGCGCUAUGGAAACGGCAAAGAAAAGGCUCCAUGCUGCUUUUGAGUUCUUCACCAAACUUGGUGUGAAGUAUUACACCUUCCAUGACAGGGACAUGUCCCCGGAGGGCUCCACCCUGGAGGAGUCCAACCGCAACCUGGACGAGAUGACUGAUCUGGCCCUGGAGCUCCAGCAGCAGACUGGGAUUAGAGUGCUGUGGGUCACCUGCAACCUGUUUGCCCACCCCCGGUACAUGAAUGGCGCCUCCACAAACCCAGACUGCCAUGUUUUGGCCUAUGCAGCGGCCCAGCUGAAGAAAGGCCUGGAUGUGGCGAAAAAAUUGGGCGCUGAAAACUUUGUAUUCUGGGGAGGCAGAGAAGGUUUCCUGUCAAUAUACAACACUGAUGUGGCUGCUGAGCUGAAGCAUAUGGCGAACUUUUUCAAAAUGGCAGUCGCAUACAAAGAUAAGAUUGGACUGAAGUGCCAGUUCCUCAUUGAGCCGAAGCCUAAGGAGCCAUGCAAGCACCAGUAUGAUUACGGUAGGAUGCAGGUCCUUUUAAAGCACCAUUAUGAUUACGGUAGGAUGCAGCUCCUUUUAAAGCACCAUUAUGAUUACAGUAGGAUGCAGGACCUUUUAAAGCACCAUUAUGAUUACGGUAGGAUGCAGGACCUUUUAAAGCACAAGUAUGAUUACGGUAGGAUGCAGGUCCUUUUAAAGCACCAUUAUGAUUACGGUAGGAUGCAGGUCCU
Molecule: long non-coding RNA, 1372 nt
Organism: Clupea harengus (Atlantic herring)
Lineage: Eukaryota; Metazoa; Chordata; Actinopteri; Clupeiformes; Clupeidae
Source: Ensembl